This 392-nucleotide long non-coding RNA is filed under the name Phasianus colchicus (ring-necked pheasant). RNAcentral's name for it is "lncRNA (ENSPCLG00000000185.1)". The record is from RNAcentral. Lineage: Eukaryota; Metazoa; Chordata; Aves; Galliformes; Phasianidae.
GCACUGCAGAACUCCUUACCUUAUCAUUGUCAUCUCUUCUCUAAAUCCAUGCCUUACAGUGGCAGAAAAACAGAAGUGCAGAAAGGCAAAUAUCUUGAGAAAUUUAAGUAACAGAGUCGUUUAGCUGAUGCCACUGAGGACACAUUCUCUUGCCUCUUGCUAAGGGAAAAACAACAAAAAAGAAAAAACAACAGAGGCAUAAGUCCCUAAUUUCUACACAAGUUGCUUUGAGACAACUGCUGCAUUUGGGAGCACAGUGGACAUGACUGUUGUCUCAGAUUUAUUAAAAUGGGGUAGUUAUCUUUAAAUUGUUCCAUCCACCAUAUAUUGUAAGUAUCUCAACCACCUCAAAAAUAUCCACUGUUUAAUUUUCACCUCUUUCUAACAUUUUA